AUGUGGAAGGAGAUUUUUCGACUGACGCACACUGAACUGCGGAUGAGCACGGCACGGCACCCGCAAACCGAUGGUCAGUCUGAGCGGGUCAAUCAGUGUCUGGAGACCUAUCUCCGGUGCUUUGUGCAUGCCUGCCCCUCCAAGUGGUCGUUGUGGCUGGCCCUCGCGGAGUUCUGGUAUAAUACUUCACCACAUUCAGCUCUGGGCACCUCCCCAUUUGAAGCUCUCUAUGGCCACGCGCCCAGGCAUUUCGGCAUCAUUGAUCCCAUGGCGUGUGCAGCCCCAGAUCUGCAGGAUUGGCUACAGGAUCGUGCCCAGAUGGAGGCAUUGCUUCGUCAACACCUGCUUCGUGCGCAGCAGCAAAUGAAGGGGUCAGCUGACAAACGGCGGUCUGAACGUACCUUCGAAGUGGACGAUUGGGCGUUCCUCAAGAUGCAACCGUACAUCCAACGUUCCUUGGCAACACGCACUAACCAGAAGCUCUCCUUCAAGUAUUUUGGUCCGUUUCAGGUGGUCCAGCGGGUGGGGCAAGUGGCACACAAGCUCCAGCUUCCACCGUCGUGCAUCAUCCAUCCUGUCUUCCACGUCUCACAGCUACGUCGCGCCUUGCCACCAACGGAGCAAGCUCUCAACGCCUUGCCUACGGACGCUGCACCAAAUCCAGAGCCAGUGGAGAUCCUCGCCCACCGUACGCGCCCUCGGGGCGCAGUACAAGUGCCACAAGUGCUCGUCAGGUGGACAAAUCAACCGGCGUCACUAGCCACCUGGGAGGACCGCGACGAGCUCCAUCACCACUACCCGAGCGCUCCAGGUUGGGGACAAGCUGGUUCUCAAGAAGUGGGGGAUGUUACGGCCCAGCCCGACACCACCAACAACCACCCACCCAAGGCCCAAGUCCGGGAGCCAACCAAGAGGGUGAGAAGGCCAAGCAACCAAUACCCAUCCACUGCGUGGGAAACCUAG
RNAcentral lists this ribosomal RNA (963 nucleotides) under Triticum aestivum (bread wheat). Its description in RNAcentral is "partial small subunit ribosomal RNA". Lineage: Eukaryota; Viridiplantae; Streptophyta; Magnoliopsida; Poales; Poaceae. The record is from RNAcentral.